RNAcentral lists this ribosomal RNA (439 nucleotides) under uncultured bacterium. RNAcentral describes it as "partial 16S ribosomal RNA". It matches the Rfam family "Bacterial small subunit ribosomal RNA", at positions 338 to 795 of the family's 1533-position model. The record is from RNAcentral.
CCUACGGGAGGCAGCAGUAGGGAAUCUUCCACAAUGGGCGAAAGCCUGAUGGAGCAACGCCGCGUGGGUGAAGGCCUUCGGGUUGUAAACUGCUUUUAUAAGCGAGAAAUAUGAUUGUAACUUAUGCAUAAGACUCGGCUAACUACGUGCCAGCAGCCGCGGUCAUACGUAGGAUCCGAGCAUUAUCCGGAGUGACUGGGUGUAAAGAGUUGCGUAGGUGGCAUAAUAAGUAGCUAGUGAAAUCUGGUGGCUCAACAAUUCAGACUAUUAGCUAAACUGUUAAGCUCGAGACCGUUAGGGGUAACUGGAAUUUCUAGUGUAGGAGUGAAAUCCGUAGAUAUUAGAAGGAACACCAAUAGCGUAGGCAGGUUGCUGGGACGGGUCUGACACUAAGGCACGAAAGCGUAGGGAGCAAACGGGAUUAGAUACCCCUGUAGUC